This 92-nucleotide microRNA precursor is filed under the name Pelobates cultripes (western spadefoot toad). Lineage: Eukaryota; Metazoa; Chordata; Amphibia; Anura; Pelobatidae. The record is from RNAcentral.
CUCCAAAUGUUGCUGAACUACAACUCCCAUGUUUCUAUGUAUGAAAUAGAUAGGCUAAAAUCAUGGGAGUUGUAGUUCAGCAACAUCUAGAG